GAUGAACGCUGGCGGCGUGCUUAACACAUGCAAGUCGAACGGGAAACCUUUUAUUGAAGCUUCGGCAGAUUUAGCUGGUUUCUAGUGGCGGACGGGUGAGUAACGCGUGGGUAACCUGCCUUAUACAGGGGGAUAACAGUCAGAAAUGGCUGCUAAUACCGCAUAAGCGCACAGAGCUGCAUGGCUCAGUGUGAAAAACUCCGGUGGUAUAAGAUGGACCCGCUUUGGAUUAGCUGGUUGGUGGGGUAACGGCCCACCAAGGCGACGAUCCAUAGCCGGCCUGAGAGGGUGAACGGACACAUUGGGACUGAGACACGGCCCAGACUCCUACGGGAGGGAGCAGUGGGGAAUAUUGCACAAUGGGGGAAACCCUGAUGCAGCGACGCCGCGUGAAGGAAGAAGUAUCUCGGUAUGUAAACUUCUAUCAGCAGGGAAGAUAAUGACGGUACCUGACGAAGAAGCCCCGGCUAACUACGUG
Molecule: ribosomal RNA, 478 nt
Filed under: uncultured bacterium
Lineage: Bacteria
Description: partial 16S ribosomal RNA
Rfam family: Bacterial small subunit ribosomal RNA
Source: RNAcentral